Dipodomys spectabilis (banner-tailed kangaroo rat) is the source of this 118-nucleotide long non-coding RNA. RefSeq lists it as uncharacterized. The record is from RefSeq and is a predicted model, not a curated record. NCBI's taxonomy places the organism in Eukaryota, Metazoa, Chordata, Mammalia, Rodentia, Heteromyidae. The transcript is spliced from 3 exons.
UGGUUGUGAUUUUGAUGUUUUAAGCAAAGACAGCUUGACUUUCAGCAACAGCCUUUGGGCCCUGAAUUGUGAAGCAGGCCUCUACGUCAGCAGCCUUGCAGCAAGUUUCCAGUAAAGC